AAAAACAAAUCUUUUAUGGCCUGCGAGCUGAAAAAACUGUGUUAAAGAAAUAUCAAGACCUGCUCAAAGUGUCCGACACCUGCCACAGUGAAGACAUGAAUAUGAGCGUCAGCCUGGCAACGAGGAUCAGGAUUGUUCAUUUCAUUCUUAAUGAGACAAAGAUAAAAUCAGGAGAUGGUCUGGAGGAUCUGAAGGCUCUGAUGAAUGAUGGCGUGUUUGAAACAUUCUACUGCUUGCAUGACGAAAAUCACCAGGAGGAGCUAAAGGAGUGGGCGGAUUGGAAGAAAGCUUUCAACAACCAACCGUUCGAAAAGAUUCGG
Molecule: non-coding RNA, 320 nt
Organism: Oryzias latipes (Japanese medaka)
Lineage: Eukaryota; Metazoa; Chordata; Actinopteri; Beloniformes; Adrianichthyidae
Source: RefSeq, a predicted model, not a curated record